This 28-nucleotide small RNA is filed under the name Bombyx mori (domestic silkworm). RNAcentral's name for it is "ovarian small RNA-18285". The record is from RNAcentral. Lineage: Eukaryota; Metazoa; Arthropoda; Insecta; Lepidoptera; Bombycidae.
UAAAGACUUCAUUAACGAGGGUUUUUGC